UACGGAGGAUGCAAGCGUUAUCCGGAAUGAUUGGGCGUAAAGCGUCCGCAGGUGGCAAUGUAAGUCUGCUGUUAAAGAGUCUAGCUCAACUAGAUAAAAGCAGUGGAAACUACAUAGCUAGAGUACGUUCGGGGCAGAGGGAAUUCCUGGUGUAGCGGUGAAAUGUGUAGAGAUCAGGAAGAACACCAGUGGCGAAGGCGCUCUGCUAGGCCGUAACUGACACUGAGGGACGAAAGCUAGGGGAGCGAAUGGG
RNAcentral lists this ribosomal RNA (253 nucleotides) under uncultured bacterium. RNAcentral describes it as "partial 16S ribosomal RNA". It matches the Rfam family "Bacterial small subunit ribosomal RNA", at positions 524 to 776 of the family's 1533-position model. The record is from RNAcentral.